CCUACGGGGGACAGCAGUAGGGAAUAUUUCUCAAUGGGGGAAACCCUGAUGCAGCAACGCCGCGUGGAGGAUGAAGGUUUUCGGGUUGUAAACUCCUUUUGUUAGAGAAGAAAAUUACGAAAUUUAACGAAUAAGCACCGGCUAACGCCGUGCCUGCAGCCGCGGUAAUACGAAGGGUGCAAGCUUUAGCCGGAAUCACUGGGCGUAAAGGGCGCGUAGGCGGGAUAGCAAGUCAGAUGUGAAAUCCUAUGGCUUAAUCCUAGAACUGCAUUUGAAACUGUUAUUCUAGAGUAUGGGAGAGGUAGGUGGAAUUCUUGGUGUAGCGGUAAAAUCCGUAGAGAUCAAGAGGAAUACUCAUUGCGAAGGCGACCUGCUAGAACAUAACUGACGCUGAGGCACGAAGGCGUGGGGAGCAAACAGGAUUAGAUACCCGAGUAGUC
Molecule: ribosomal RNA, 440 nt
Filed under: uncultured bacterium
Lineage: Bacteria
Description: partial 16S ribosomal RNA
Rfam family: Bacterial small subunit ribosomal RNA
Source: RNAcentral